Non-coding RNA from Electrophorus electricus (electric eel), 805 nucleotides. Lineage: Eukaryota; Metazoa; Chordata; Actinopteri; Gymnotiformes; Gymnotidae. The record is from RefSeq and is a predicted model, not a curated record.
CUGUGUACUGUAGAGCAGAUCAACCCCGACUCACAGAGUCAGAGUAAGCUGUGCUCCCAGGACUGAACAUACAUCAGCUUCAGGACUAAAUACGUAUCAGCUCCCAGACUAAACACGCAACAGCUCCCAGACAGAGAAUCGCAUCAGGACUGCCUCACCUCUCACACCAAUCAGACCUUCACUGCAGCAUGAAGCCCAGAAGAUUACUCAUGUUUGUGGCUCCUUUGCCCACAAUAACAGAGACACAUGAGGAUGUCCCUCCAAUGGGAUGCCAGGGAAACCUUGUCACAGGUCUUUGGAGGAAUAUGUCAAUUCCAUCAAGGAGCUGGCCCAGCCUGUUAGUGGCCCUGUGAGGGUGGCACGAACUGUGAGGCCUCACUUCUUCUCCAAGCCUGUGGGCAAGCACUUGGGCACCAGCUCUCCCCGGUGCUUACCAGGGCUCCGCGACCCCCCCCGCACUGCCCCGCUGGGCCUUGGAUGAACUGGCCCUCAGCUUCAGCAGCCAAAAGGAAUGGGGUAGCAGAGACCCAUUGGACUGGCUUUUUGCACAGACCACAGUUCCCCAUAGCUCGGGACGGGCAGCACAGGACUGAUAGUGCAGCUUUGAGGUUACUCUAAGGAGCAGCAGUCACAGCAAUGCAACCAGGGGUCACAUUGAGGAGUCCAAUCAAAGGACAAUGCUGUAAUAAUAAUGUCUUAAUUUAUUUUGUGUCACUGGGACUUUUGGUCCCCGUGUGUUUGUGUUUUACACUCUGAACUGAUUUUUACUUUAGUGAUUUAAAAUAAAUUGGAUUUUGAAAACUUG